Molecule: non-coding RNA, 207 nt
Organism: Pelobates cultripes (western spadefoot toad)
Lineage: Eukaryota; Metazoa; Chordata; Amphibia; Anura; Pelobatidae
Source: the annotation of a GenBank genome assembly
GAUAGGUAACUGUUCUUCUGGCAUUUAAAUAUGUCUAAAGUGUGUCUAAUUGAACAUGUUUGUGGCAUGUUCGGGUACAGAGUAUCGUUCGCGUGUGAUAAAUUUUUUACUCUAAAUUUGUGUUCGACUUCUGAAUUGUUUCAAAAGGGACCGUUCGAGUUACGAGGUUCCACUGUAUACUUAGCAGCACUGCACAGUGUUCAAAAU